AAGGGGAUCGUUCAAUGGUAGGACAACGGCGUCUGACUCCGUGAAUCUAGGUUCGAAUCCUGGUCCCCCCGCCA
RNAcentral lists this transfer RNA (74 nucleotides) under Deltaproteobacteria bacterium RBG_13_52_11. RNAcentral describes it as "tRNA-Gln". It matches the Rfam family "tRNA". Rfam says of the family: Transfer RNA (tRNA) molecules are approximately 80 nucleotides in length. Their secondary structure includes four short double-helical elements and three loops (D, anti-codon, and T loops). Further hydrogen bonds mediate the characteristic L-shaped molecular structure. tRNAs have two regions of fundamental functional importance: the anti-codon, which is responsible for specific mRNA codon recognition, and the 3' end, to which the tRNAs corresponding amino acid is attached (by aminoacyl-tRNA synthetases). tRNAs cope with the degeneracy of the genetic code in two manners: having more than one tRNA (with a specific anti-codon) for a particular amino acid; and 'wobble' base-pairing, i.e. permitting non-standard base-pairing at the 3rd anti-codon position. The record is from RNAcentral. Lineage: Bacteria; Deltaproteobacteria.